UGCCCUGGCGGUGGGGGAGGGUGCCUCUGGUCUGAUGAGAAAGCGUAGUCUCCGUCAGUCAGAUGAGACGCCAAUCUAACCGAUCCACACAGAGAAAAAAGGAAAAGGGUGCAAAUGAGUGAGAUUCGAGGCAGAGCGAAUGGACACUGCAAACAGAGCUCGGAGCACAAGGGCAGAACCCCAGCACUGGUGUGGCCAGCGCCUCACUUCCGGCCGCCCCACCCUGUGUCCUGUGUGCCCAGAACUUGGACUCUCUCCCGUCUCCCCCUCCCUUGUCUCUUUGCACGGAAGACAAAUGGAGAUCCUGGAGGACAGGAAAGAAAGAUCAGGGAGGGAAAGAUUGCGGAGGGGAAGCCAUGUCACAGCAGAGCCGCAGAGAUGGGUGAAGUGUUUGCAGCUGCAGGUGAGAAGCGCACGCGGUCCUGCGUUAUCAGUGACACUCGCGAGGCCGUCUCUGCAUCAAAGACUCUGCAGUCCGGGGACUCCCGGGGCAGAGGGACCCAAGCGUAAAGUAGCUACACAGUUAAGAGCCUCCUUCACUCAAGCCGGUGUUCCUCACUCCGUCCAUUUACCAUAG
Long non-coding RNA from Bos indicus x Bos taurus (hybrid cattle), 577 nucleotides. The record is from Ensembl. NCBI's taxonomy places the organism in Eukaryota, Metazoa, Chordata, Mammalia, Artiodactyla, Bovidae.